UACCAGCACCCCGAGUGGUCGGGACGUUUAUUGGGCCUAAAGCAUCCGUAGCCGGUUCUACAAGUCUUCCGUUAAAUCCACCUGCUCAACAGAUGGGCUGCGGAAGAUACUAUGGAGCUAGGAGGCGGGAGAGGCUAGCGGUACUCGAUGGGUAGGGGUAAAAUCCGUUGAUCCAUUGAAGACCACCAGUGGCGAAGGCGGCUUGCCAGAACGCGCUCGACGGUGAGGGAUGAAAGCUGGGGGAGCAAACCGG
This 253-nucleotide ribosomal RNA is filed under the name uncultured bacterium. Its description in RNAcentral is "partial 16S ribosomal RNA". It matches the Rfam family "Archaeal small subunit ribosomal RNA", at positions 474 to 727 of the family's 1478-position model. The record is from RNAcentral.